AAAAAAUUAAAACACAACACUUGUUUGUGUUGUUGGGUUCGAUCAGAAGGCAGGGGGCGACUUCAAGCUCCCCAAAACCCUAGUUCACAUCAAAAACCACCAAUUGAAGGAUCAAAUCAAGUCCAAAACGAAAAUCGAGCAUAUAUUCGUGAUCCCCAUUGAAAGGAGAUCAUAAGAAAUUAUGCCCGCAAGUUUGUCGCCUAACGAGCUAGGUGGAGGCUUGGAAAAGAAGCGGUCAAACGAAUCAAGCACGAGAAGAAAACGUAUUCGGAUGCGAGGUAAGUAGAGCUUACGCCCCUUUACAUUAUUUGCAAAGUUACUUAAUUUCAAGUCAUGAUAUGAAUGCUACUAAGUGGUUGGUAUAUGAUAUUCCGACGCGAUUCAAUGAGAGUUGGAAUGAGGGGAAAAUGGUAAAUUAGUCAUGUAAUGACGAAUAAUUAAAAACGGUUUUAAGUAAAACAAGUUCAAAGAAAACCGGGAUAGGUAAAAGGGGUGAAAUGGUAAUUAAAUACCAUCUCAACACGGACAAAUGGUCAAUUAGACUAAAUGGGUCAAAUGGUGUGGAUAACACCAUUUGGCAAUAACAAUUGACAAUCGCUUGUUGAGUUUUGUGAUUUCAGGAAAUAACAUGUGUUGCGUUGCUUUAAUUAGAAAAUUUAAAGCAAGAAGUAUGUAAACGGGUCAAUACUAUGAUCCGAGCCAGGUACGCAUAUGUGAAUUUAUAGUUAAAAGUGCAAGAAGGUCUAACAUCUAGCCGAAAUCCUUCAUUUCAAAAUGAAGGACUAAAUGUGACCAAAGAGCCCUUAAUAGGUAAACAAUGUAAACGACCCUUAGAGGUUGCCUAGAAACUUAUAUUAUGAGUUUGAAACCCUUAGAUGUGUAUAAAAGUUCUAGGCAAAAACAAUUGCGGGUCGAACGCCUAGAAAUAGUUAAUUGCGGAAAAAUGACCAACCGAUAGGUAAAAUUGGGAAAAAGGGGUUCAUAUGUUAAAUCCACCACAAAAAAGUUGUGGUGGAAUAUUUCUAGUUAAUUAGACAUGGAAAAUAUUGUAGUAUCAAAAGAAAAGCACAAGUUCUAGACCAAAAUGCGUAAAUACCCUUAACGGGUCGAAAUAGAAGUAUUAGCGAAACGAGUUAAGAAUGUGUAAUAACCCGUGAUUUGAACCUUGUACAAUAGGAAAUAAUCAUAAUAUUAUGUUUACGAAAGAAACAAGGGCCACAAUCAAGUUUGUUAGAUGAAUUCAUGAACGGGUCAAAAUUUGG
RNAcentral lists this long non-coding RNA (1262 nucleotides) under Helianthus annuus (common sunflower). RNAcentral describes it as "sRNA HanXRQr2_Chr04g0139391". Lineage: Eukaryota; Viridiplantae; Streptophyta; Magnoliopsida; Asterales; Asteraceae. The record is from RNAcentral.